This 222-nucleotide unclassified non-coding RNA is filed under the name fungal sp. Its description in RNAcentral is "partial internal transcribed spacer region". The stretch from base 1 to 46 matches the Rfam family "Eukaryotic small subunit ribosomal RNA", at positions 1786 to 1831 of the family's 1831-position model. The record is from RNAcentral. Lineage: Eukaryota; Fungi.
AAGUCGUAACAAGGUUUCCGUAGGUGAACCUGCGGAAGGAUCAUUAUUUUAAAAUUAUUAAUGUUUUGUGAAUUUUGUGAUUGGAGGAGAAAGGAGGAAGAAGGGAGUGUUUAACAUAAACACACACUUCCCUUUUUAAUAUUCCACACAAUAAUGAAAAUUAUAUAGUCUAUUUUUAAAAAAUUUUUAAAAUAACUUUUAACAAUGGAUCUCUUGGCUCUU